CUCACAAGACAUAUACAGACUUACUUCAACAAUUGUAAUACUUCUUUCAUUAUAAUUAUAAAAAAACACGACUAGAGAUGUAAAUAGCUCUACUUACGUGAAAGGUAGAGUAGAAAGAUAUACCUGUGCGGAAUUGCAAGGAAGAACGGUACAGAUGCUCCUCGGAUAGGCAGAUUAGGUAGAGUAGAAAGAUAUACCUGUGCGGAAUUGCAAGGAAGAACGGUACAGAUGCUCCUCGGAUAGGCAGAUUAUAGGCGAGAAGAGGGAGGGAGUCGAGAGACGGUGAGGCAGAUGAAUUUAGG
RNAcentral lists this long non-coding RNA (302 nucleotides) under Daucus carota (carrot). Its description in RNAcentral is "long non-coding RNA (DCAR_LNC000698)". Lineage: Eukaryota; Viridiplantae; Streptophyta; Magnoliopsida; Apiales; Apiaceae. The record is from RNAcentral.